UCCAAGCCUCGACCAAAACUUACCUUGCACAAGUGAAAUGGUAACUAUGGAAGAGUUACUCAAGUGGAGAAGGAUCAGACCGUUGAAGGGAUAAGGGACGCGCAUUGCCAGGCUGGGACAGGCUGGAAAGCUAAAGCACCUUUAGUCCAAGAUGCCAUAAGCGUGUGGUGCUUGCUAGUGGUUGAUUUGAAUCCUUUACCUUGACUUCACAUGCUUUCUCC
This 221-nucleotide long non-coding RNA is filed under the name Brassica rapa (field mustard). Its description in RNAcentral is "long non-coding RNA (BRAP_LNC008411)". Lineage: Eukaryota; Viridiplantae; Streptophyta; Magnoliopsida; Brassicales; Brassicaceae. The record is from RNAcentral.